GGGGGUAUAGCUCAGUGGUAGAGCACAUGCCUAGCAUGCACGAGGUCCUGGGUUCAAUCCCCAGUACCUCCA
This 72-nucleotide transfer RNA is filed under the name Camelus dromedarius (Arabian camel). It matches the Rfam family "tRNA". Rfam says of the family: Transfer RNA (tRNA) molecules are approximately 80 nucleotides in length. Their secondary structure includes four short double-helical elements and three loops (D, anti-codon, and T loops). Lineage: Eukaryota; Metazoa; Chordata; Mammalia; Artiodactyla; Camelidae. The record is from Rfam by way of RNAcentral. RNAcentral also lists the same sequence under 2 other names.